UGAUGGCGGUUGCGUGCGUGCUCGUACUCGCGUGCCUAGCUAUCUUCCUCGAGGAGCUCGUGUUCUUGCACCAAGUUUACCAUGGGAACGGGGUCAAGGUGCGGAAGGUCGCCACUAUCCUAGGCUUAUAUCCGGUGACGAUUGUUAUGGCGUUAAUGGCCCUGAUGGCACCAAAGAUCAGCUUCCUCCUGGAUCUGUUUGCAUCUUGCUACCUAUCCGUGUGUUUCUUCACGCUGGUGUCGCUAAUCAUUGAUACUUUUGGCAAUG
Molecule: long non-coding RNA, 267 nt
Organism: Dreissena polymorpha
Lineage: Eukaryota; Metazoa; Mollusca; Bivalvia; Myida; Dreissenidae
Exons: 3
Source: RefSeq, a predicted model, not a curated record